GCCAGGCGUGGUGGCGGGCGCCUGUAAUCCCAGCUACUCAGGAGGCUGAGGCAGGAGAAUCACUUGAAUCUGGGAGGUGGAGCUUGCAGUGAGCCGAGAUCGCGCCACUGCACUCCAGCCUGGGCAACAAAGUGAGAUUCUGUCUCAA
RNAcentral lists this non-coding RNA (148 nucleotides) under Nomascus leucogenys (northern white-cheeked gibbon). Lineage: Eukaryota; Metazoa; Chordata; Mammalia; Primates; Hylobatidae. The record is from Rfam by way of RNAcentral.